AAACGGGUAUGUCCGUGAUCGGGCUCAAUCCGACUGUUAUUAUGUUGUCUAAUUAGAUUAGGAUUAAUCUCGCUUUUAAAUUGAAAAGCUAAUUAGAUAUAAAUUCUACCUAUAUUAGGAUAACAACUAUAAACGGAUUUAGUCUUAUCUUUUACGUACCUAUUAGAAUUUUGAAAUCUCUUAUAAAUAUACAGACUAUCUCUCAUAAGAGAGAUAAUAAGAAAACCAAGAAAGAAAGAUAAGAACCACAUCCUCCAUUAACUUAUUAUUCUAGAGGGUCUUGAACGGUGGAUUGGAGAUUGUAUUUGUUUGUAGUUCGAUCCAUCGUGAUCGAGUUUAGAGCGAUUUCGUGGACGAUUCGAGAAUACGUGAAUCAACCUCUACGAUUUAAGCUCGUCGCGUUCUAAUGUAUCAAAAUAGGAGGUUCUGAGCUCGAGUCAUGCUAGGGUAGCUCCUAGCAUGCAUAUAUACUUGAUUUCUUCCCAUUGAAUUCAAAUUCACAUCAUAGGCCUAUCAAAAAAUUUCAAACCUAUACAUGAUAGAAAUAUUAAAUAUUAAAAUAUUAAAAUACUAUUCUCUACUAACUUAAGCUUUUUAAACUUUAAAAAAAAAAUUAUUUCAUAUAAUUGAAUAGUUUGUCAACCCAAUUAAU
RNAcentral lists this long non-coding RNA (652 nucleotides) under Ananas comosus (pineapple). RNAcentral describes it as "long non-coding RNA (ACOM_LNC020675)". Lineage: Eukaryota; Viridiplantae; Streptophyta; Magnoliopsida; Poales; Bromeliaceae. The record is from RNAcentral.